UGGAAGCGGAACUCGUCGAGCUCCUCUUGCAUCUGCCGGCGUGCAACGAGCUGUUGCGGAUCGUCCUCGGUGUGCUCCAUAAUCUCGGCGAUUACGCCGUCGAGGUCGCCGGCGUCGACGUAGUCUCCUGGCAGAAAGACGAGGUGUCUGGGCGUAGUGCCAAGCCCAGCUCCUCCCCCUCCCUCUUCGGAGGCGGCAUCGGUGCGCGUGCAAUGGAGGAGCUCCCCGCGCCACCCGCGCCAGAGGAGCUCCCAAGUGGUCGCCUCGCACCGCAGUCUCGUGCCGCCGCCGCCAUCUAGCGGUCGUACUCCUCCACCUCGUGCCGAUUGAACGCACGGAGUGGCACGAGCCCCCAUUUCAUGUACUUGCACGCGAUGUGCUUCCGAGCAGCGUCGGAAGCAACCAGCGCCGCCCGUUCCAGGUCAGAGUCGGGCGCCGACCGCUUCGCCCCUUUCUAAUCCUUGUCGGAGAGGUUUCCACCGCCGGAAUGGCCGUCGCGCGAGCUGAAAGAUCCGGGCCUCAUGAUCGUCGCACGGCAACGCUUGAUCUGCGGCGGCGGGCCUGGAUUGCGUGCGUUUGAUGGUCUCCGGCGGCGAGAGUGGCGCAUAUUUGGAUGUGUAAAUAGUUAGGGUACGACACAUUUUAUCGCAUAACUAGAGGAUUUAACUAGUAACACUAACAUCCCUGGCCCAUGAGUCAGAUUGACCGGUGAGCCCCCCACGUGAGCUCGAAUAAACCUUUUCUAUUUACUGAAUAAUCCAAAAAAUGUUAUAAACUUGUAAAUUCGAUAUCUUUUGCAAUGCAAUUCAUUUAAACGGAAUUGUCAACACAUCAGUACCCUAUACAUCAUCUUGCACACGCAAAAUCACUUGUCAAAUUCAUUUUCAUGUUUGAAACUUGUUUAAAUGUUGGUCAAACUUAGGUUUGACCCAAUUUGAAAUGAGCAUAAAAAAUCAAAAAAUUUGAAAACCAGUGCACAUGUUCUUAUUUUGUCAUAUACUAACAACUCAAAUUGAUUUGGCUGUUUUAGACAUGGUGGACAAAAAACUUGCUUAGAAAUGGGUUGUUUAUCCUACCUUUGGAGCUAAUUUGGAACUCAUGUGUGAAGACAAGUGGUUUUGGGUGUUGAACUUGAAACUUCCGAAAACCUGACGAAAUCUUCAUUUUGGAGUGACUAAGAAGGAUCCACGCCUGGUUUUCAUUUUCAUGUUUGAAAUUUGUAUAAAUGUUGGUCAAACUUAGGUUUGACCAAGUUUUUAAUGAGCAUAAAAAAUUCAAAAAAAUCAAAAAAUUGGAAAACCAGUGCACAUGUUCUUACUUUGUCAUAUACUAACAACUCAAAUUGAUUUGGCUGUUUUAGACAUGGUGGACAAAAAACUUGCUUAGAAAUGGGUUGUUUACCGUACCUUUGGAGCUAAUUGGAAAUUCAUGUGUGAAGACAAGUGGUUUUGGGCGUUGAACUUGAAACUUUCAAAAACCUCACAAAAGCUUCAUUUUGGAGUGACUAAGAAGGAUCGAGGCUUGGUUUUCAUUUUCAUGUUUGAAACUUGUUGAAAUGUUGGUCAAACUUAGGUUUGACCCAGUUUGAAAUGAGCAUACAAAAUUCAAAAAACACAAAAAAUUGGAAACCGAGUGCACAUGUUCUUACUUUGUCAUAUACUGACAACUCAAAUUGAUUUGGCUGUUUUAGACAUGGUGGACAAAAAAACUUGCUUAGAAAUGGGUUGUUUGAAAACCAUACAACCUUGUUGGUGAUAGUCAAGUUUGUGAAGGCUUUUUCAUGAAAAACUCCAUAGUCCAAGUUUCUUAUUUUUUCUAUCGAGUUAGUUCAUAGAACGAUGAUUGGCACAAGUUUUCUAUUUUUUGAUUUUUUUUAAUUAGUUAUGCUCGACCCUAACCCUUGAAAACCCUACAACCUCGCUCAUGAUAGCCAAGUUUGUGAAGUCUUUUUCAAGAAAAACUCCAUAGUCCAAGUGUAUUAUUUUUCCUAUCGAGUUAGUCACAUAGAACGAUGAUUGGCACAAGUUUUAUUUAUUUAUUUUUUGAAUUAAUUAUGCUCAACCCUAACCCUUGAAAACCUCUCAAAACCCCAUCAAAACCCCGCACCUGUCCGGACCAUUGGAUCACCGUGAAUGGACGGUCUGGAUUAGGCAGUAGGGCUACGUCAACGAUCCAAGGGUUGUGCUUUCAUUGGCUGGUCUUUUUAGCUCCUUUCUUUUGGCAGCAUUCUGAAGCAUGGGUCCACACAGAUUGAGGAGGCGUGCCCCGCGUUUUUGAGCUUAAUUUAAUCUGGCCCACCCCUUGGACCGUCUCUUUCUUUCUCUGCAAAAACGAGGAGCCCGGCCGGCCCAGCUCCACCUAAACGUUACGCUCCUCCCCCUCGAUUAACUGAAGAAUUGAUGGGCAUGGUUUCAGACAUGAUGGAUGCCACGAGGGCAACGUGGAAGGAGGAUCUGAUUCAUUUGGUUUUCCUACCGGCUGACGGUGAUACAAUUCUAGCAAUUCCAUUGUGCACGAUACCGAUAGUUGAUUUCUAGGCAUGGUUGUUCGAAAGAACUGACCUCUUCUUGGAUAGUUCAACAUACAAAAUGGUGAUCAAUACUAGGGAGAAUAGUGUGAAUGGAAAUGUUGGUUCAGCUGGGGCUCACGGGACUCUAGAAGGGAUGGAGGGGCCUUCCUCGCAGUCACAUACUAUACAUCGGAUGGGGGGUGGAGGGGCCCUCCGGAUUCUUACCUGAAGAUCAAUGUAGAGAUUGUUGUAUCACACGACUGCACACAGGGAGUGGCAGCCGCUAUAUGUCGUGACCGCGAUGGUUUUUUCUAAGGAGCUUCAGCGAUGGUUUUCAAGGGUAUAGGGGAUGCACCUACACUCGAAACUCUGGCGAUUCGGGAGGCUUUUUCCCUAGCAAAUGAUCUAUACAUUCAGCAUAUACAUAUUGCUUCGGAUUGCAAGGUGGUGGUUGACGAUAUCAAGGACAAGCAGCCUACAACAUACAAUGCUAUUUUACAUGAAAUUUUAGAACACAAAUCGUCUUUUCAAGCAUGCAAUGUAGUGCAUGAAUAUAUGAGCCCAAAUGUCGAGGCUCACAAUUUAGGGAAAUAUGUUUUGAGGUUAGGGGAAGGCCGACAUGUAUGGCUAGGCACCCCGGGAGAUUUAUCAUUUGUACCUUUGAACGUUGAUCAAUAAAGUUUCGCGAGAUUGACUAAAAAACUGAAGAAUUGCUGCACUCUGUUAAUUGAAGAAUUGCUGCUUUUUAUGAAUUCAAUUGCUGCAUUUUAUUCGUCAGGGGAAGCAAAUAAUCAAUGGACUACCUAGAACUAUAACUGAGAAUAUCAUUACAAGAAUUCAGGCAGGUUUAGCUUCACACAAAUUCAAAUUGAGCUAACAAAUGAUCCAUGACUAACUGAAACUACUUGCUUGACGCACUAAGUGAAACUCUAACAAGUUCUAGCGAUUGAUGAACAUCAAGUAAAAGAAACCCGGGCCACACAAGAAACCCAUAGAAAUGACACAACAAUAAAAUGCUCCAGCCAUCAUACUUGCUAGCUGCUUCAAAUCGAUCAGCUGCUUUAGUUGCUUGUGGAUCAAUCUUUGCAAAUUCAAUCUCCCACUUCACAAUUGUAUCUCCCUCUAUGUCCUGCAUGCUACCAUCACCUAGCUUCUCCUUAGAAAGAAGAAAUUCCACAGUGAAUUCGAACGUCCGAGCACCACCACCCUUGUUUGCCAAUGACGGGGCAGUGUGAGGUGAGCUAGCAGAAGCAGACGAGGCACAAAUCGCAUAGGUUGGAAAGGAUGUUGUUGUCUCUCGCGGCUCCAUCGCGGUCACCUCUCCUCCCCCCCACCCAAACCUAGAUCAAAUCGACCAAAAACAGGCAAUGCGGUGAGAUCUAACUCGACACAGAGGAGAAGAGGACAGGGUUCCGGAUUCACUCGCCACAGCCGACGCCGUCACCGAGAAUGAAAGCCCCGUCGUUGCUGUCAUCGAGAACAAAAGCUCUGCCGCCGCCGGCGGCGACUCACCGCCAGAAACGAAGAGGAGGGAGCAACACAGGUUCAGACAGGGGUACCCGUUCGGACAGGCACGGGGACACGUUUCACCUGGUGCAGUGACAAGUGGGGCCCAUAACUAGAUGCACUGCCGAGUAGGGACCGUGCUUACGUGGAUAAGUCGUGGGUCCAGCCCCUAACAGCUAAUUAGGGCAUCAGUUCAUAUUAAGGGCCAUGUCGUGUCUGGGCUAUUUCCUUGCUUAAAAUUGUCGCACCAAGGCAAUUUGAAGGAAAGACGUCUCACUCCUAAUUUACCUCAAAGGUGUCGCACCUGAGCUAUUGACCCUGCAUCACCAUGGCUGCAUUGGAGAAUUUUACUUCUUCGCCCUCUACACCAACUAAUAAUGCACAGAGGAUAUCUAGUCUUGGUUAUGCAUCGAGCCUAGUCCUUAAUAUAUACGUGAGUAUCACAAAAGACUGGUCCUCAAAAAUAAAUAGAAAUCUAUAUUCGUUUUGGAAGAAUUUAACCCUAGGUCUUCAUUCUCUCACCAGGUUGAAUUAGACUCACUUCCUACAACCUUUUGAAGCACUAUCCGUCGUGUCUGUCUAGCAACUAGUACAACCUAGAACAAAAAGGACACCACUUUCUGCUCUCAUAAUGCAAAAAUUCUAUACAACGGAAUUCAGCCCACUGAUCAAUAUUAUCUUAUCACCGACUUAAACUAGUAUACUAAGUAUCUGCUAUUAACAACAGCCGACGAAACCAUUCGAUACCACAAACUCUGCCGCUCCAUGACAUGGAAGGUGUGAGGUGACAUGCCAAGAGGACUAAACAAGCCACAACAAUUUCAUAGACCAACUAUUAUAGAACUAAUAAAGUACCAUCACUGGGCCACUAAUCAGUAAACCAAACCCUGCCCCUAUCAUCAUCCACUAAUCACCAAGUGGCAGCAAGCAAAGAAAAAAUAAACACAUUAUCAACACCACACACACAAUGCAGAGAAGCCAUGAUUGACCUCCGCUAUAAAAAGCACUCCAAAGCCACUCCCUUUCCUCAUCUCUCUCUCGCUCACCUAUACAUCAUCAUCUCCUCUGCCUAACAAGCUAAGCAGCUCAGCUCAAGCAUCGGCAAUGGAGGGCAAGGAGGAGGACGUGCGUCUGGGCGCGAACCGGUACUCGGAGCGGCAGCCGAUUGGGACGGCGGCGCAGGGCGGCGGCGCGGACGAGAAGGACUACAAGGAGCCGCCGCCGGCACCGCUGUUCGAGGCGGAGGAGCUGACGUCGUGGUCCUUCUACCGCGCGGGGAUCGCCGAGUUCCUGGCCACCUUCCUGUUCCUGUACAUCAGCGUGCUCACGGUGAUGGGCGUGGUGGGCAACCCCUCCGGCUCCAAGUGCGGCACCGUGGGCAUCCAGGGCAUCGCCUGGAGCUUCGGGGGCAUGAUCUUCGUGCUCGUCUACUGCACCGCCGGCAUCUCCGGCGGCCACAUCAACCCCGCCGUCACCUUCGGGCUGUUCCUGGCCAGGAAGCUGUCGCUCACCCGGGCCGUGUUCUACAUGGUGAUGCAGUGCCUGGGAGCCAUCUGCGGCGCCGGGGUGGUGAAGGGGUUCCAGACCACGCUGUACAUGGGCAACGGCGGCGGCGCCAACUCGGUGGCGCCGGGGUACACCAAAGGCGACGGCCUGGGGGCGGAGAUCGUGGGGACCUUUGUGCUCGUGUACACCGUCUUCUCCGCCACCGACGCCAAGCGCAGCGC
RNAcentral lists this long non-coding RNA (5742 nucleotides) under Hordeum vulgare. RNAcentral's name for it is "long non-coding RNA (HVUL_LNC012956)". Lineage: Eukaryota; Viridiplantae; Streptophyta; Magnoliopsida; Poales; Poaceae. The record is from RNAcentral.